UGGGCAUGUUGCCUUUGUUGUUGGUGGUGGAGAGCAUGGUUUUCCUUUAGGGGAUGGUGUAAUAACUGGUGGAAUUGUUACGGGUGGAAUUCCUAUAGGUGGCAAGUUGAUAGGAGGUUUUACAAUAGGUGGUAAACCAAUUGGUGGCUUAAGAACUGGUGGAACUGUCACCGGUGGAAUUCCGAUAGGUGGCUUAAUAACAGGUGGAACAACGGGCGGCAAGUUGAUAGGUGGUUUUACAACUGGUGGAAUUCCGAUAGGUGGCUUGAUAACUGGUGGCAAGUUGAUAGGUGGUUUUACUACUGGUGGAACUGUCACAGGUGGAAUUCCGAUGGGCGGCUUAAUAACUGGUGGAAUAACAGGCGGCAAGUUGAUAGGUGGUUUUACAAUAGGCGGAACUGUCACCGGUGGAAUUCCAAUGGGUGGCAAGUUUAUAGGGGGUUUAAUACUUGGAGAGGGAGUUUUAGGUUUUUUGUGUUUGUGAGAGGGUUUUCCACAGUAGCCACAACCAAGAAUGGGAGUGAAUGAAGAA
This 532-nucleotide long non-coding RNA is filed under the name Nicotiana benthamiana. Its description in RNAcentral is "long non-coding RNA (NBEN_LNC033144)". The record is from RNAcentral. Lineage: Eukaryota; Viridiplantae; Streptophyta; Magnoliopsida; Solanales; Solanaceae.